This 1459-nucleotide ribosomal RNA is filed under the name Halobacteriales archaeon. RNAcentral's name for it is "bacterial SSU rRNA". It matches the Rfam family "Archaeal small subunit ribosomal RNA". The record is from RNAcentral. Lineage: Archaea; Methanobacteriati; Methanobacteriota; Halobacteria; Halobacteriales. RNAcentral also lists the same sequence under 1 other name.
UCUGGUUGAUCCUGCCAGAGGUCAUUGCUAUCGGGGUCCGAUUUAGCCAUGCUAGUUGCACGGGUUAAGACCCGUAGCGAACAGCUCAGUAACACGUAGAUAAACUACCCUAUGGACUGUGAUAACCUCGGAAAACUGAGGGUAAUAACAGAUAGUACUCCUAUGCUGGAAUGCAGUGAGUACGAAAUGCUCCGGCGCCAUAGGAUGUGACUGCGGCCGAUUAGGUAGACGGUGGGGUAACGGCCCACCGUGCCGAUAAUCGGUACGGGUGGUGAGAGCCAGAGCCCGGAGAUGGAAUCUGAGACAAGAUUCCAGGCCCUACGGGGCGCAGCAGGCGCGAAAACUUUACAAUGCGCGAAAGCGCGAUAAGGGGACCCCGAGUGCGAGGGCAUAACGUCCUCGCUUUUGUAUAUCGUAAGAAGAUAUACGAAUAAGGGCUGGGCAAGACCGGUGCCAGCCGCCGCGGUAAUACCGGCAGCUCGAGUGAUGAUCACUAUUAUUGGGCCUAAAGCGUCCGUAGCCGGUUGAACAAGUCCUUCGGCAAAUCCACUCGCUCAACGAGUGGGCUCUCGAGGGAAACUGUUCGACUUGGGGCCGGGAGAUCUGAGGGGUACGUCUAGGGUAGGAGUGAAAUCCUGUAAUCCUAGACGGACCGCCGGUGGCGAAAGCGCCUCAGAAGAACGGACCCGACGGUCAGGGACGAAAGCUAGGGUCUCGAACCGGAUUAGAUACCCGGGUAGUCCUAGCCGUAAACGAUGCUCGCUAGGUGUUGCGAAAGCUACGUGCUUUUGCUGUGCCGUAGGGAAGCCGUGAAGCGAGCCGCCUGGGAAGUACGUCCGCAAGGAUGAAACUUAAAGGAAUUGGCGGGGGAGCACUACAACCGGAGGAGCCUGCGGUUUAAUUGGACUCAACGCCGGAAAUCUCACCAGUACCGACAAUUGCAGUGACAGUCAAGUUGAUGACUUUACUCGAGCUCUUGAGAGGAGGUGCAUGGCCGCCGUCAGCUCGUACCGUGAGGCGUCCUGUUAAGUCAGGCAACGAGCGAGACCCACAUCUCUAAUUGCCAGCAGCAUCCAUGUGAUGGCUGGGUACAUUAGAGAGACUGCCGUCGUUAAGGCGGAGGAAGGAAUGGGCAACGGUAGGUCAGUAUGCCCCGAAUGUACUGGGCUACACGCGGGCUACAAUGGCCGGGACAAUGGGAUGCAACCCCGAGAGGGGAAGCUAAUCUCCUAAACCCGGUCUUAGUUCGGAUUGAGGGCUGAAACUCGCCCUCAUGAAGCUGGAUUCGGUAGUAAUCGCGUCUCAAUAGGGCGCGGUGAAUACGUCCCUGCUCCUUGCACACACCGCCCGUCAAAGCACCCGAGUGAGGUUUGGAUGAGGCCGCCCUUAGGCGGUCGAAUCUGGGCUUCGUAAGGGGGCUUAAGUCGUAACAAGGUAGCCGUAGGGGAAUCUGCGGCUG